This 375-nucleotide unclassified non-coding RNA is filed under the name fungal sp. RNAcentral's name for it is "partial internal transcribed spacer region". Lineage: Eukaryota; Fungi. The record is from RNAcentral.
AAGUCGUAACAAGGUUUCCGUAGCCUGCGGAAGGAUCAUUAACACGUAUCCAACGUUAAACCCCCCUGUGAACUUUCAUCGUGCUCUUGCAUCCUAGGAACAGCAAUCCUGGUGGACCUCUGGCCAAAAGAUGUGAUUGAGCGCUCGAGGCAAGUGGCCUAGCUUCCCCAAGCGAUCAGUGUUCUGAAAGUGGUCAUUGAUUGUGCAAGGAUAACGCUUCACGGAUGCUGUAGGCCGAUCACCGGCCGGCGUCGUGGUCACCGGGCUCACGCCCCUUCGAAACAACCAGUAGUUAGCGUAUGUCUCCUCGACACAGCAAGUGCGCCGUCGUAGGAGAAAAACGAACAACUGUUAACAAUGGAUAUCUUGGUUCUC